Molecule: ribosomal RNA, 485 nt
Filed under: uncultured bacterium
Lineage: Bacteria
Description: partial 16S ribosomal RNA
Rfam family: Bacterial small subunit ribosomal RNA
Source: RNAcentral
AUUGAACGCUGGCGGCAUGCCUUACACAUGCAAGUCGAACGGCAGCACGGGUGCUUGCACCUGGUGGCGAGUGGCGAACGGGUGAGUAAUACAUCGGAACAUGUCCUGUAGUGGGGGAUAGCCCGGCGAAAGCCGGAUUAAUACCGCAUACGAUCUACGGAUGAAAGCGGGGGACCUUCGGGCCUCGCGCUAUAGGGUUGGCCGAUGGCUGAUUAGCUAGUUGGUGGGGUAAAGGCCUACCAAGGCGACGAUCAGUAGCUGUUCUGAGAGGACGACCAGCCACACUGGGACUGAGACACGGCCCAGACUCCUACGGGAGGCAGCAGUGGGGAAUUUUGGACAAUGGGCGAAAGCCUGAUCCAGCAAUGCCGCGUGUGUGAAGAAGGCCUUCGGGUUGUAAAGCACUUUUGUCCGGAAAGAAAUCCUUGGCCCUAAGACGGUCGGGGGAUGACGGUACCGGAAGAAUAAGCACCGGCUAACUACGU